GCCUCGGUUGCCAACGUGGUCAAGGCGCUUGUUUGAAGAACAAGUUAUCUCAGUUCGAUUCUGGGCCGAGGCA
This 73-nucleotide transfer RNA is filed under the name Candidatus Daviesbacteria bacterium. RNAcentral describes it as "tRNA-Phe". It matches the Rfam family "tRNA". Rfam says of the family: Transfer RNA (tRNA) molecules are approximately 80 nucleotides in length. The record is from RNAcentral. Lineage: Bacteria; Candidatus Daviesiibacteriota.